This 465-nucleotide ribosomal RNA is filed under the name uncultured bacterium. Its description in RNAcentral is "partial 16S ribosomal RNA". It matches the Rfam family "Bacterial small subunit ribosomal RNA", at positions 28 to 507 of the family's 1533-position model. The record is from RNAcentral.
GACGAACGCUGGCGGCGUGCUUAACACAUGCAAGUCGAACGGAAAGGCCCUGCUUGCAGGGUACUCGAGUGGCGAACGGGUGAGUAACACGUGGGUGAUCUGCCCUGCACUUCGGGAUAAGCCUGGGAAACUGGGUCUAAUACCGGAUAGGAGCCAUUUUUAGUGUGAUGGUUGGAAAGUUUUUUCGGUGUAGGAUGAGCUCGCGGCCUAUCAGCUUGUUGGUGGGGUAAUGGCCUACCAAGGCGGCGACGGGUAGCCGGCCUGAGAGGGUGGACGGCCACAUUGGGACUGAGAUACAGCCCAGACUCCUACGGGAGGCAGAAGUGGGGAAUAUUGAACAAGGGGCGCAAGCCUGAUGCAGCGACGCCGCGUGGGGGAUGACGGACUUCGGGUUGUAAACUCAUUUCGCUAGGGACGAAGCUUUUUGUGACGGUACCUAGAUAAGAAGCACCGGCUAACUACGUG